UUCUGCAUCUGCCAAGAGUUUUCACCGAACUGCUGAGGUCUCCACCAAGGUUAAAAAAUACGAUGCUUGUCGACAUACAUAAACAUACAACGUGGUUAUUUGGUUCCCAUGGGGACCAACUGCAGCGCUAAACAGGAAACAAACCUGAAAACGACAGCAUGCGUGAACAAGAUCAUAGCCUCACAGUCAGCUGAACAGUGUUCGGCACCAGCUGGAAAAAAUAUUUCAACCUUCUUAAAUUUAUCAGGCCGACACAAGGAGGCAUAUUAUUGUGAAGUGGAAGGAAAUGAUGCUCCUAAAUAAAAUCCAAUGGGAAGGAAGAUAUAAUAAUCAAAAAGGCAGCCAAGAGGCCCACGGUAACUAUGGAGGAUCUGCAGAGAUUCAUGGCUCACCUGCAAAUCUGUUGGUAGGACAACUAUUAGCCGUGCACUCCACAGAUCUGCCACAAACCGUGUAAGAGACACAGCAAACAUGAAAGAAGGUGCUCAGGUCAGAAAAGACCAAAACAGACCUUUUUAGACUACAUGCAAAAUGCUUUGUGUUGUGGAAAACUAACAUGCACAACACUCUGAGCACUCCAUCCCCACAGUGAAACAUGGUGGUGGAAGCAUCAUGUAGGGACAAGGAAGCUGGUCUGAGUUUAUUUAAAGCUGGGUGACGUUAAAUACCGGGCAAUCCUGGAAGAGAUUCACCUUCCAGCAGGACAAAGACC
Molecule: long non-coding RNA, 712 nt
Organism: Girardinichthys multiradiatus
Lineage: Eukaryota; Metazoa; Chordata; Actinopteri; Cyprinodontiformes; Goodeidae
Exons: 3
Source: RefSeq, a predicted model, not a curated record